CCCUUAGACGUUCUGGGCCGCACGCGCGCUACACUGACAAAGGCAACGAGCUACUCUUCACCGAAAGGUGUGGGUAAUCUUUUGAAACUUUGUCGUGCUGGGGAUAGAUCCUUGCAAUUUUUGAUCUUAAACGAGGAAUUCCUAGUAAGCGCAAGUCAUCAACUUGCGUUGAUUACGUCCCUGCCCUUUGUACACACCGCCCGUCGCUACUACCGAUUGAAUGGUUUAGUGAGGCCUUCGGAUCCGCGACUCGUUUGUGGAGAAGUUAGACAAACUCAGUCAUUUAGAGGAAGUAAAAGUCGUAACA
RNAcentral lists this ribosomal RNA (307 nucleotides) under uncultured eukaryote. Its description in RNAcentral is "partial 18S ribosomal RNA". It matches the Rfam family "Eukaryotic small subunit ribosomal RNA", at positions 1470 to 1796 of the family's 1831-position model. The record is from RNAcentral.